This 495-nucleotide ribosomal RNA is filed under the name uncultured bacterium. RNAcentral's name for it is "partial 16S ribosomal RNA". It matches the Rfam family "Bacterial small subunit ribosomal RNA", at positions 28 to 507 of the family's 1533-position model. The record is from RNAcentral.
GACGAACGCUGGCGGCGUGCCUAAUACAUGCAAGUAGAACGCUGAAGGAGGAGCUUGCUCUUCUGGAUGAGUUGCGAACGGGUGAGUAACGCGUAGGUAACCUGCCUGGUAGCGGGGGAUAACUAUUGGAAACGAUAGCUAAUACCGCAUAACAGUAGAUGUUGCAUGACAUUUACUUAAAAGGUGCAAUUGCAUCACUACCAGAUGGACCUGCGUUGUAUUAGCUAGUUGGUGGGGUAACGGCUCACCAAGGCGACGAUACAUGGCCGACCUGAGAGGGUGAUCGGCCACACUGAGACUGAGACACGGCCCAGACUCCUACGGGAGGCAGCAGUAGGGAAUCUUCGGCAAUGGACGGAAGUCUGACCGAGCAACGCCGCGUGAGUGAAGAAGGUUUUCGGAUCGUAAAGCUCUGUUGUAAGAGAAGAACGAGUGUGAGAGUGGAAAGUUCACACUGUGACGGUAUCUUACCAGAAAGGGACGGCUAACUACGUG